CAGUAGCCGCGGUAAAACAGAGGCCUCAAGCGUUGUUCGGAUUCAUUGGGCGUAAAGGGUGCGUAGGUGGCUUGGUAAGUUGAAGGUGAAAUCUCGGGGCUUAACCCCGAAACUGCCUUCAAUACUGCUAGGCUUGAGGACUGUAGAGGAGAAUGGAAUUCACGGUGUAGCAGUGAAAUGCGUAGAUAUCGUGAGGAAGACCAGUGGCGAAGGCGAUUCUCUGGGCAGUUCCUGACACUGAGGCACGAAGGCCAGGGGAGCAAACGGGAUUAGAUACCCGCGUAGUCCCUGUCUCUUAUAC
RNAcentral lists this ribosomal RNA (301 nucleotides) under uncultured bacterium. RNAcentral's name for it is "partial 16S ribosomal RNA". It matches the Rfam family "Bacterial small subunit ribosomal RNA", at positions 509 to 807 of the family's 1533-position model. The record is from RNAcentral.